Molecule: ribosomal RNA, 482 nt
Filed under: uncultured bacterium
Lineage: Bacteria
Description: partial 16S ribosomal RNA
Rfam family: Bacterial small subunit ribosomal RNA
Source: RNAcentral
AUUGAACGCUGGCGGCAUGCUUUACACAUGCAAGUCGAACGGUAACAGGCCGCAAGGUGCUGACGAGUGGCGCACGGGUGCGUAAUGCAACGGAACGUGCCCAGUCGUGGGGGAUAACUACUCGCAAGAGUAGCUAAUACCGCAUACGAUCUAUGGAUGAAAGCGGGGGACCGUAAAGCCUCGCGCGAUUGGAGCGGCCGAUGUCAGAUUAGGUAGUUGGUGGGGUAAAGGCUCACCAAGCCAACGAUCUGUAGCUGGUCUGAGAGGACGACCAGCCACACUGGAACUGAGACACGGCCCAGACUCCUACGGGAGGCAGCAGUGGGGAAUUUUGGACAAAGGGCGCAAGCCUGAUCCAGCAAUGCCGCGUGCAGGAAGAAGGCCUUCGGGUUGUAAACUGCUUUUGUACGGAACGAAACGGCUCUGGUUAAUACCCGGGGCUAAUGACGGUACCGUAAGAAUAAGCACCGGCUAACUACGUG